AAACUAGGUGAAGAGUUGAGUAUCACCAUGAUGAGUUAACUAGGCAAGUAUUAUGCCACAAUUAUUAUAUUCAUGGAUCAUGAAAUAAUCUUGGAGCCAGAAAACUGGGCUGAGAAGCAGCAAGAUGGUGCAAGAAUGACAUCUAUCCACUUCCAAGUCCAAGGGAAACACAGAUGUAGCCACUGCUGGAGAAGCAGUAUCUUCACUGGACAUCCAGAUCUCCAUUAUAGCAAAAAGGAAGCCUUCAGGGUCUGGAUUUUACAUAGUCCAUCCAUCUGCCUGGAGAGGGAGGAGCACCACACAGACAGGGACCUCACAGGAAGGUGGAGAUAAGAAAGAGAAAUUUCAUAUCCUACUCUAAUGACCAGCUUCCCUGCAGCUUCUGCACUGGAAUCAGAUGUUCCCAACCUGAGACUGACAAUUCUAGAUCACAGAACUCUUGAGUUCCAGGAGGUGGAUUUAUGAAAAAAGGAAUAUGAGAUGCCAAAGCAUCAGAAGGAGAGGGUACCAUUUUCUUAGCUAAUAUUUUACUUUUUCUGUAUCAAAUCCACCUAGACCAUUAUUAAAGGGAACGUUAAUGUGC
Long non-coding RNA from Pongo pygmaeus (Bornean orangutan), 583 nucleotides. RefSeq lists it as uncharacterized. The transcript is spliced from 3 exons. The record is from RefSeq and is a predicted model, not a curated record. NCBI's taxonomy places the organism in Eukaryota, Metazoa, Chordata, Mammalia, Primates, Hominidae.